Molecule: ribosomal RNA, 253 nt
Filed under: uncultured bacterium
Lineage: Bacteria
Description: partial 16S ribosomal RNA
Rfam family: Bacterial small subunit ribosomal RNA
Source: RNAcentral
UACGUAGGGUGCAAGCGUUAAUCGGAAUUACUGGGCGUAAAGCGUGCGCAGGCGGUUAUGUAAGCCAGGGGUGAAAUCCCAGGGCUUAACCUUGGAACUGCAUUUGUGACUGCAUAGCUAGAGUACGGUAGAGGGGGAUGGAAUUCCGCGUGUAGCAGUGAAAUGCGUAGAUAUGCGGAGGAACACCGAUGGCGAAGGCAAUCCCCUGGACCUGUACUGACGCUCAUGCACGAAAGCGUGGGGAGCAAACAGG